This 21264-nucleotide long non-coding RNA is filed under the name Medicago truncatula (barrel medic). RNAcentral's name for it is "long non-coding RNA (MTRU_LNC005849)". The record is from RNAcentral. Lineage: Eukaryota; Viridiplantae; Streptophyta; Magnoliopsida; Fabales; Fabaceae.
AUGGCUUCCUCUCUACUCCUUUCCUUUCUCCUAUACUCGCUGAUUCUUCAAUCCGUCGGUGUUGUAGCUCAAACCAAUAGUACUAUAGCCAUUGGUGAUUCUUUUACUGCUGAAACCAGCAACUCUACAUGGUUACUUUCACCUUCUGGUGACUUUGCCUUUGGUUUUCUUCCAAUACAAGACACUGACCUUUUUUUGCUUUCCAUUUGGUAUGCAAAAAUUCCUGAAAAAACUGUUGUGUGGUAUGCUAAUAGAGAAAUUCCUGCACCAAAAGGUUCAAAAGUGGAACUCAAUGCCGAUGAUGGGUUGGUGCUAACUUCUCCAAAUGGUGUCGGGUUAUGGAAUACUACUGAGGAACUUAGUGCUAAAGUUUCCCAUGGUGUGUUCAACGAUACUGGUAACUUUGUGCUCGAGGGUGGUGGUUGGGAGACUUUCAAGUAUCCUAGUGACACCUUGUUGCCUUCUCAGUUUCUUCAAAAAGGUGGAAGCCUUUCUUCAAGGCUUAAGGAGUCAAAUUUCAGUAAAGGAAGGUUUGAGCUUGUUUUACAAAAUGAUGGUAAUCUUGUUAUUCAUUCUAUUAAUUUACCAUCUGGUAGUGCUAAUGAAAACUACUAUGAAAGUGGAACUGUGGAAUCCAAUACUUCAAGUGCUGGAACUCAAUUGGUCUUUGACAGAUCAGGGUACUUGUAUGUCUUGGGAGAGAACAAUGAGAAAUACAAUGUGUCAGAGCAAGAGAGUAAAGUCUCUACCACUCUUUAUUAUCUUAGAGCAACUCUUAAUUUUGAUGGUGUGUUCGCAGUUUACAAGCAUCCGAAGAAUUCAAUUGAUGGUGAAGGUUGGACCACAGUGUGGUCUAAGCCUGAUAAUAUAUGUACUUAUAUUGUUAGUGCAGGUAGUGGUGUUUGUGGAUAUAAUAGCUUAUGCACUUUGGAAGUUGAUAAGAGACCGAAAUGUCAGUGUCCAAAACGAUACUCGCUGGUUGAUCCUGAAGAUCCAUUUGGUAGCUGCAAGCCAGACUUCAUACAAGGAUGUGCAGAAGAUGAACCAAGUAAAAACAGAAAUGAUCUCUAUGAGUUUGAGACUAUGACUGACAUUGAUUGGCCUUACUCAGAUUUUGUGCUUCAAAAGCCUUUUAAUGAAAAACAAUGUAAGGAAUCUUGUAUGGAAGAUUGCAUGUGUUAUGUGGCUAUUUUCAGGUACGGUGAUAGUUGUUGGAAGAAGAGGUUACCACUUUCAAAUGGGAGAGUUGAUGCAACUCUUAAUGAUGCUAAGGCUUUCUUGAAAGUGAGAAAAGAUAAUACAUCCCUUGUUCCUCUAAAUCCAACCAUUGUGAACAAGACUAAUAAUAGGGAAACGUUGGUUUUGGCUGGUUCUGUGCUUUUGGGUAGUUCUGCUGUUCUCAAUGCUGUAUUGAUUGUAGCUAUCUGUAUCAGCACCUCCCUCAUUUUUAAGUACAAGAAGAAGCUUAGAAGAGUUAGCAAAAGUGACGCUAGUUUUGAAAUUGAAUCCCAUUUGCGUUGCUUCACUUAUGCAGAGCUUGAAGAAGCUACUAAUGGAUUCGACAAAGAGCUAGGAAGGGGAGCUUUUGGUAUUGUUUAUGAAGGAGUCGUCAACAACAACACCGCUUCCAAAGCUCGUGUGGCAGUAAAAAAGUUGAACAGUUUUAUGUUGGAUCAAGCUCAUAAGGAAUUUAGGAAUGAACUGAAUGCCAUUGGUCUCACUCAUCACAAGAACUUGGUUCGUUUACUUGGAUUUUGUGAGAGUGGAAGUGAAAGACUGCUUGUUUAUGAGUACAUGAGCAAUAGCACUUUGGCAAGUUUUCUUUUCAAUGAAGAAAAACAGAAGCCAAAUUGGAAACUAAGGCUAGAACUUGCAAUAGGAAUAGCUAGAGGACUUGUGUAUUUACAUGAAGAGUGCAUCACUAGGAUCAUUCAUUGUGACAUAAAGCCUCAAAACAUACUCCUUGAUGAUUACUUCAAUGCAAGAAUUUCUGAUUUUGGAUUAGCAAAGUUGUUGAACAUGAAUCAAAGCAAAACCAACACCGGCAUAAGAGGAAUAAAAGGGUAUGUUGCACUUGAAUGGUUUAAAAACAUGCCUAUCACAGCUAAGGUGGAUGUGUAUAGUUAUGGUGUAGUGCUACUUGAGAUAAUUUCAUGUAGAAAAUGUGUUGAAGAAAUGGAUGAAGAAGAUGAAGACAAAGCAAUUUUAACUGAUUGGGCUUAUGAUUGCUACAAUGAUGGUGCUUUAGAUGCAUUGGUUGAGGGUGACAAUGAAGCAUUGGAGGACAAGGAAAAUUUGGAGAAAUUGGUAAUGAUUGCUCUUUGGUGUGUUCAAGAGGAUCCAUGUCUUAGACCAACCAUGAGAAAUGUGGUACAUAUGCUUGAAGGUACUGUUGAAGUGCAAGUUCCACCAUACCCCUCACCAAUUAGUAUUCAAUAUUCUCUAAAUUAAUAAGUUGGGAAGCAAAGAUUGGCAACUUGUGCUAAUACUUGCGCUCUUUUUAAGUGUACCGUGUAAUAUUUGCAUUUAUGUUUGUGUUCAAGAUGUGAUUUCCAUAUUAAGGUAGGUCCCAAUAUAGAAUAAAAAUAUUUAAUUUUUAGGUUAUGCUAGGCAUUUGUUAAAGAUUCAAAAAGGAAUUAAUUAUUAAAUUUUAUGUGAAAAAAGUUGUUUUUUAAUCUUUUAAUAAGUUGAAUACACAAUUUUUAAGAUAAAGUUGCUACUUUAAACUUAUUAUCCAGUGUCUUAGAGCAUCCGUUAGCAUUUCCCUUAAUUUUAUUAUAAAAUAAUUAUAAAGUAAUGUUCAUUAUAAAGUAUUAGUGAAAUAUUUGAAAUGUAAUUUCUUAUUUUGAAACUUUAUGUAUAAUAUUCAUUGUUUUAAGGAUGUAUAAUAUUCAUUUUUUAUAGUCUCCUUUAUUUGCAAAUGUUAUACGUCACUCAACUUAUACUACACAACUUAACAACAAUAAAAAUAUUGUGAGAAUCGGUUUUUCCAUCUCUCUGAAAACGACUGUCAUGUAAGCACUCGAAUCUAUGCUUAUUUUCAACUCCUUGAGUUAAAAAAUGAAUGACCAAAAUAAAUAUUAUGUACCUUCAAAAUAAAAAUAUUAUGUAAAAAGUAAAGGGAAAAAAAUAUAUUUUACACAAACUCCAAAAAAAUGCCAGCCCGAGUAACUCAAAUCACCGGGAGCACUCAUGAUUUCAUCAAUUAAAAGCGGGUAUAAUAUCAAUCAUUGAUUUGUGAUUAAACAAAUCAAUGGUUGAUAUUAUAGACACAUAUAUAGGAGCAAAUAUUGACUAGUUAUAAGUUGUUAUAAUAUUAAUCUUUAAUUUUUUUUUACUUUACAAAUUACUCAAUUCAUAGGUCCCUAAAAUAUACCGUGUUCUCUCAUUUAUUUUGCUUAGUUAGAUAUUAAUUUGAGACGGUUAUGGUGGAACCAUGGAGGUAUUAUCUUUUCUCAUUUUCAAGAAAGCCUUAGCACCAUUAAGAGUUGCAUCAACUCUCCCAUUUGAGAGUGGUAAAGUUAAAUUCUGGCUUGCAGCUGCCAGAUGGAUCACCAAGAAUAUUUUUGCUAUGUUUCAACUUUUACUUUAAACUAUCUUAGUUUAUAGUCUUACAGGGUUCAAAUUUGAUGCAAUCACACAUUAGUAGAGUAAUAAUGUGCUGAUUCCACUUUGCCAUUCUAGUGAAAUUAAGAAACAAAGGUUUUUUUUUUUUUUUACAAAAUUUUAAGAAACAAAUAUUGAGAAACAAUUAACUACUCCUAGCUAGCUUGUACAUCAAGCUACUUCUAUUUCCUUCUCAACCUUACAGUUAAUUAGUGCGUUGCCAAGAAAAUAGAAUGCAACUAAUCUGCAAGGUUUAAUUCAAGGAAAAGAGGGGGAGCUCAUCUUAAGACAAUGGGUUUAUGGGGGAGCUCAUCUUAAGACAAUGGGUUUAUGAGUCCUCUUACUUAUAAGGUGUUCAACAUUUACUAUUUCAUCCGAUGUGGAACAUAUAUAACUCACACUUUCAAUCCAUUGCUGCUUUCUACGCAAACGGACCGGCUGCCUUGGUCCUACCUUUUGUCGAACGGGGCUCUGAUACCACUGUUGGGUCACUGAGGGGGAGCUCGGGGGACCGUCCACAUCGAGGCUAGAACAACCACACAAGAUAGAGAGACGCCAUACCACUGUUGGGUCACUGAGGGGGAGCUCGGGGGACCGUCCACAUCGAGGCUAAUGGAUUUAUGGGUCCUCAACACUCCCCUAAAGUGUGAGUCCAUCAAUUCAUCGAGCUCCCCCUCAAGCGGAAGCUCUUACUUGCUUUGUAUCGCCGUUGCUGGUUUCUCCUCAAACGGACCGACACUUUCUACGCAAACGGACCGGCUGCCUUGGUCCUACCCUUUGUCGAACGAGGCUCUGAUACCACUGUUGGGUCACUGAGAGGGAGCUCGGAGGACCGUCCACAUCGAGGCUAGAACAACCACACAAGCAAGAGAGAUGCCACACUCUUACCCAAAACCUUAAGGCAAUGGGUUUAUGGGUCCUUUUACUUAUAAAGUGUUCAACCUUUACUAUUUUAUCCGAUGUGGGACAUAUAACUCACACUUGUACACAACAACAAAUAUCAUUGAGCAUUUGUCUAUUUAAUUUAUGUCACGUCAGAUUAUACAGUGUAUUGCACAUCUGUCCAUAAGGUGUGUCAUUAUAUCUUUACUUAUUGCAAUUGUGUCCCUGAUUAAAUCAAAAUUAAACUUAGAUUCCCAUUUAUGCACUAAGAUUGAAAUUCCCUUAAUAUUUUGUAUGAUGAUUGAUUUGUAAUAAGGUAAAGUUUAGUUUUAGAGUGGUCCACCAGCAAGACACUUGUUGACAUGACAUCAGCAAUUCUACUAUUGGCUAAACAAAAUAAUUUUUUUAAAAAAGUCAAUUUUCUGACUGCACUGUAAAAGUCUCCUUAAUUCAAUUGAUAAAUAUCGAUAUUAUUAGACUAGAUAUUUUGACCCUAGUUCGAACCCGUAACUUUGAAGUUUCGUACGGGUUUCAUCGUUGAUUGACACUUCUACAUACCAAACAAAAAUUAGCAUGCAACUAGACCCCACAACCAUACAAUUUUCUUAAAUUUCAAUUUUACUCCCAUAUUUUUAAUUAAAAUAAAAAAAAUCUCUGGAAUUUUUUAAAAAUUUCUUUCAAGUGUUUUAAAAUUACGAGAAAUAGUUAUGACACUACCUCACAUCAAGAUUAUUUAGUCACAUUACUUGAUAUAUAUAAUUUCUCUUUUAAAUUUUAUUAAUCAUGGUGUACGCCUAAAUAAAUUUUAUUUGAGGUUAUGUCUAUGGAGAAAUGGAGAGGAUACAAAAUGAAGAAGAUCUUGACUCUCUAAAAUUACACUAUCUCUUGUAUUAAACCCUCCUCCUCUACUUCUCUUCCUUGACCAUUCUCAUUGGGUUCUUAGCAGUUCACAAAAACAGAAUGGUCGCAUAUUUCUAUAGAGGUUGUAUGUGUUAAAGGGAAGGAAAGUGUAUCAUACGUUUGUUAUUUCCAAAGUAUAACGAGACUUGUGCGUUGAUUUAGUAUGAGUUGACCAAAGUCUACACAAAGAAUAUUCAACACAUAGAAAGACUAGUAGUGGUGACUUUCGUGCUUUAAAUUUGAUGGACACAAAAAAUAUCUAUUUACUAUCAAAAUUAUAUGGACCAAAUUGAUUCAGAAUCUAGCUAGACUUCAUCUCCACUUCCCUUUCUAGUCUAUUCACCCAUAUAUUGUGGCUCAAUGAGGUGAUGUGGCAAAAAAUCUAGGUUUUAGUUUUAGACCUAAGAGAAGUGAUGUGGGAAACCAUUUAUUAACAUGGCAUAUGACUUGCUUUUGAAAAAUCAUUUACAAAUUAACCAAGUACUUAUGGUCAAAUGAUAAAUGAAUAGAAUAAUUCUUGUUCAGGUUAUACUUAUCUCACGAUCAAAAUCUGAAUUACCAGAAUCCUCGUCUCAUGAGAACUGUUAAUACCAAAAAAGGAAUCAUUCAGAUGAAUUUCUAUCAGCUAGGUUUUAUGAUACAUCAAUAUUUUUUUGUUUUCAUAUAACCCCUUUUGAAUCUAUAUAACUUAGCUAAGUAUCAAAAAACUGGAUUUUGAAAAGGGAAAACCAAUUUAGAAAAUGUGAUAAUAGGAGAACAAAACUAUAAUUAAACUUACUCUAUUGUCGGCAAAUGACAUUUCUCUAGUAUAUCUAAUAGAACAAUAAAAGUAUAGUUCAUAUUUUACCCUGCUCGAGGGUGGCGGUUGGGAGACUUUCAAGUUUCCUAGUGACACCUUGUUGCCUUCUCAGGUUCUUCAAAAAGAUGGAAAGCUUUCUUCAAGGCUAAGGGAGUCAAAUUUCAGUGAAGGAAGGUUUGAGCUUCUUUUAGAAGAUACUGGUGAUCUUGUUAUGUAUUCUAUUAAUUUACCAUCUGAUUAUGCUAAUGAAGUCUACUAUGAAAGUAAAACUGUUGGAUCCAAUACUUCAAGUGCUGCAACUCUACUGGUCUUUGACAGAUCAGGAGACUUGUAUCUCUUGAGAGAGAACAAUGGUAAAUUCUAUAUGUCAGGAGAAGAUGGGCCGGGCAGAAGAUGAAGAGAGUAAAGUCUCCACAACUGAUUUUUAUCUUAGAGCAACAAUUAAUUUUGAUGGAGUGUUUUCACUUUUCAAGCAUCCGAAGAAUUCAACUGAUAUUGGAAAUUGGACUACAGUGUGGUCUCAUCCUCGAAAUAUAUGUCAUUAUUUUGUUACUGAAGGUAGUGGUGUUUGUGGAUAUAAUAGCAUAUGCACUUUGGGAGAUGAUACGAGACCAGCAUUUCGGUGUCCAGAUAGUUACUCACUAGUUGAUCCUGACUAUCCUUAUGGUAGCUGCAAGCCAGAUUUCGUACAAGGAUGUGCAGAAGAUGAACUAUGUAAAACAAAGGAUCUAUAUGAGUUUCAGAUUUUGAUCAGAUGCCGUGCUUCUAGAGCCUUUUACUGAAGAACGAUGCAUGAAAGCUUGCAUGGAAGAUUGUUUGUGUUCUGUGGCUAUUUUCAGGGACGGUAGUAGUUGUUUUAAAAAGAAGUUACCACUCUCAAAUGGGAGAGUUGAUGCAACACUUGAUGGUGCUAAGGCCUUCUUAAAAGUGAGAAAAGAUAACGCCUCCACUCUCAAAUGGAAGAUUGUUUUGUGUUCUAGAGGUUUACUGUGAAAAAGGGAAGAAAAGAGUGUCAUACGUUUGUUAUCUCCCAAAGUCUACAUAGAACAUUCAAACAUAGAAAAACCAGUAGAGACUUACGUGCUUUAAUUUUGAUAGACACAAAAUAUCUAUUUACUACCAAAAUCAUAUGGACCAAAUUGAUUCAGAAGGCUUCCUCUCUAAUUUCCUUUCUCCUCUAAUCACUGAUUCUUCAAUUUAUCUUUGUUGUGUAGCUCAGUGAGGUGAUGUGGCAAAAAAUUUAGGGUUUUAACCUAAAAGAAGUCGUGUUGGAAAAAAACUAUACUGUGGCAUCAAACUUGAUCCAGGUUGGUCCAAGUCUACAAAAAGAUUAUUCAAAUGAUAGCAAGACUAAUGAAUAAGUGCUGGAAAAUUUAUGGAAACAAACAAUAGCUACAAUACUAUAAAAAAAAGGUUUAUUGAUGUGUUUAGCCCUUGCAAUUAAGCGGCAUUUAAAAAUUCGUCCAUGUAAUUGCUAAUCCUGGCAUUUUAACCCUGCAAUUGUUAAUCGUUUAAAAUUUGGUCCUUGGACCAAAUUAAUCACUGCCACGUCACUAAUUUGAUGACGUGGCAAUCACUGUCACACAUAAAAUUCCAAUUUUGACCUUAAGAAGAGGACAAAAUAUUGAAGAAAGAAUUGGAAACACAGGGGUAAAUUUGGAAUUUCAUGUGGCGUGGCAGUGAUUAAGUGGGGAGAGGGACGAAAUUUUAAAUGAUUAACAAUUGCAGGGUUAAAAUGCCAGGAUUAGCAAUUACAGGGACGAGUUUUUAAAUGCCGCCUAAUUGCAAGAGCUAAACACAUCAAUAAGCCUAAAAAAAACUAUAUGGAUGAAAUUGAUUACAAAAUCUAAACAUCGCUUCCUCUCUACUCCUUUCCUUUUCUCCUAUACUCGCUGAUUCUUCAAUCCAUCGGUGUUGUAGCUCAAACCAAUAGUACUAUAGCCAUUGGUGAUUCUUUUACUGCUGACACCAGCAACUCUACAUGGUUACUUUCACCUUCUGGUGACUUUGCCUUUGGUUUUCUUCCAAUACAAGACACUGACCUUUUUUUGCUUUCCAUUUGGUAUGCAAAAAUUCCUGAAAAAACUGUUGUGUGGUAUGCUAAUAGAGAAAUUCCUGCACCAAAAGGUUCAAAAGUGGAACUCAAUGCCGAUGAUGGGUUGGUGCUAUAACUUCUCCAAAUGGUGUCGGGUUAUGGAAUACUACUGAGGUACUUAGUGCUAAAGUUUCUCGUGGUGUGUUCAACGAUACUGGUAACUUUGUGCUCGAGGGUGCUAGUUGAGAAACUUUCAAGUUUCCUAGGGAAACCUUGUUGCCUUCUCAGUUUCUUCAAAAAGGUCAAAAGCUUUCUUCAAGGCUUAAGGAGUCAAAUUUCAGUAAAGGAAGGUUUGAGCUUCUUUUACAAGAUGAUGGUAAUCUUGUUAUGCAUUCUAUUAAUUUACCAUCUGGUUUUGCUAAUGAAAACUACUAUGAAAGUGAAACUGCGGGAACAGAUACAUCAAGUGCCGGAAUUCGACUGGUCUUUGACAGAUCAGGGGACCUGUAUGUCUUGAGAGAGAACAAUACGAAAUACAAUGUGUCAGAAGAAGAGAGUAAAGUCUCUACCACGCUUUAUUAUCUUAGAGCAACUCUUAAUUUUGAUGGUGUGUUCGCAGUUUACAAGCAUCCGAAGAAUUCAAUUGAUGGUGAAGGUUGGACCACUGUGUGGUCUAAGCCUGAUAAUAUAUGUACUUAUACUGUCAGUGCAGGUAGUGGUGUUUGUGGAUAUAAUAGCUUCUGCACUUUGGGAGUUGAUAAGUGACCAACAUGUCAGUGUCCAAAAAGUUACUCACUGGUUGAUGCCGAUGAUCCACUUGGUACUUGCGAGCCAAACUUCAUGCAAGGAUGUGCAGAAGAUGAACUAAGUAAAAACAGAAAUGAUCUCUAUGAGUUUGAGACUUUGAUUGACGUUGAUUGGUCUAUGUCAGAUUCUGUGCUUCAAAAGCCUUUUACUGAAGAUCAAUGUAUGAAAGUUUGUAUGGAAGAUUGCUAUUGUUCUGUGGCUAUUUUCAGGUUAGGUGAUAGUUGCUGGAAAAAGAAGUUACCACUCUCAAAUGGGAAAUAUGAUCCAACUCUUAAUGGUGCUAAGGCCUUCUUCAAAGUGAGAAAAGAACUGAACACAAAUAAUAAUAAUAAUAAUAAUAAUAAUAAUAAUAAUGAGUUAGGAUCCGUUGACACCUGGUGUCAACAAAUUCAUUGACACCAAAUCCUAACCAUUCUUUAUUUUGAUCUUAAUGGCUCCCAUUUAUUCACUUAAUUGUUAAUGUGGGGACUCUUCAAAGAAAAACAUAUCACACUCUCAUCAUCUUCCUCCUGAGGUCGGGUAUUCUUAUGGUUCGGGUUCUUCCACACACCCAAAUACCAAUUGAUCAUCCCUUUGUUUUCUUGUUUUCGAUUCCAUUCUCCAUCCAAAGUACAAUAAAACUCAUUUUUUUCCUUCACCCAAUUGUCUUUUAUGGGAAUGAAACAAAUCGCUAAAGCUAUUGCAAAGUCGAUUAAUGCAUGGUUGAUUUUUUUGCUUUCUAAUUCCAAUUGCUUACACCAUGUCAUGUAGGAUUUAUUGCCCUUUGCAAGAAACUCUAAUACAUCGUGACAAAAAAAUCCCCCUAUAUAAUUGAAAUUCAAAAUUACAAUUGAAAUUCAAUUUGGGACUAAAUUAAGUUUCAAAGGCUUAAUGUUGGUCCUUACUUCAUUCUUUAUUCUUGUGUGCUCAAUAACAAAAGACCGUCAGGGAAGACUUUCCGGGACAAGGAUUAAGCGGUUUGUUUUUAUUGGAGUAAUUUUUGGGAUUAAUUAAAUCAACAAAUUAUUAUCACGUGAUACACUCACAUAUAAAUCUUUAGUUUCCAUAUUUUCAACCAUUAGAUUAAUUAGAUUGAACGGUUAACAUUUGGUGUCAACGAAUUCGUUGACACCUGGUGUCGACGGAUCCUAACUCAAUAAUAAUAGACAAACUAUGGUCUUGUUUGGUUCUGUGCUUUUGGGUAGCUGUUGAAAUAUAUAUUAUUUCCUUUUAUUAUUAUUAUUCUAUUUUAAUGGUUGUUUAUUUUUCAUUUUUCAUUGGGAAAUGAUAGAUACAGUGACAAAUAACAACUUUAAAUAAUAGAGUAAUUUCUACAUGGCAUCAGAGCCCUCGAUUUUGGUGGCCUUGCUUCGGCAUAAACCUUAGCCUCCAUCACUAUGGCAUCUUUCGUUUUUUUUCUCUUCUGGAUUUGAUAUCCAGCAACAUUGUUCACCAAGUACUAUUCGCGCGUGCAAUGUUCAUCCACGUGGUACUGUUCACGUGCACUAUUCAUCGGAAAGAAGAAGGAAAAAAAAAACUCAAUUUCGUAGCUUACAGUUUGAGUCAGAUCAAAAAGUGAAAAUAAAAAAGGAUGAAUAAAUCUAAGACCAUUUAGGUAAGACAAUCUAAGAGAGAAGGUGUGACGACGGUGGUGAUGGGUAAGACAAUUUUCAACUAAUCAACCGAAGGUCGUGCACUCCAAGAUACUUCUGAUCAAGGGCAGCAGUCUUUCUCAAACUCACUUCCGUCCACUAAUGAACAAUUGUACAAGCUUCUUGAGUCUUAAACAACUUCUCAUAUGUUUUCUUUCGGUUCCAUUGCCCAAAAAGGCAAUUCUUUAGAGUCAGCCCUUCUUAGUGUCAAACUAAGUCGCACUUGGAUUGUUGAUUUAGGGGCUACCGAUCAUAUGACAGGAGAGUCUAGUAUGUUUUCUUCAUAUAGUCCUUGUGCAGGUAAUUUAAAAAUUAAGAUUGCCGAUGGUUCUCUUUUAGUCGUGGCAGGAAAAUGUUCUGUCAUUAUUUCUCCAUUAUUAACUCUUCAAGAUGUUUCACAUGUCCCAAAUUUAUCCUGUAGCCUGUCAGUAACCUGGAAUUAAAGGUGUCAAACUCAUUUUUUUGAUACUUAUUGUUUGUUUUGGGAUUCAAUCUCUGGGACAGUGUAAGCAGAAUGGAGGACUCUACUACAAGAAAUAGUUUGUUCAAAAUUUAAGGAUAUAUUUAUAAUUAAAUAUUUUACCUUCUUGAUUGAAAUAUUCUUCACCUGGAAAAAUGCAUGCAAUUAGACACCAUGACCCUAAUUACACUAUCUCUCGUGAGAGAUCCUAAUAUCACACUUAGCUCUCUUUUUAUGUUUAAAUAUAUACUCAAUCUUUUUCUUUUACAAGUAUCCUUUGGGUACAUAUUUUGUGUUUCUAUUUAAUUAUCGUUUUGAUAGUUUAAGAAUAUGAUUUAUCAAUUAUAUUAUUUUUAUAAUUACUAUUGCUUACAACUUUUCAAUUAAAUUAAUUAAUGUUAUAUGUUUGGAAAAUUCAAGUUUCAUUUUAAAACGAAUAUUGUUUUUUGAAACAAAAUGUUGUUACUUACGAUAAUGAAUCUAUAAUAAUGGAGCAAUAAAGAGUUGAAAUUCUAUAAUAAUGCUACAAAGUGUGAAUCUAGUAUUAGUUAAAGUCAUACUUGGAGCCUAAAUGUUGGUUAAAGGAGUUGAAGGGAAGUUAAGUUUUACUUAGGUGAAUAACAUUUUUUUUUAAGGAAGGUGAAGAACAAGUUUAAAGUUUGAUUAAUGUGAAAUUUUCUUUUGCUUUACUAUUAUUAAAAAAAUUGUGUAGAACAAUGAGACUAUUGAUAAUUGUUUGUCAUGGGAGAGAGAUGGAAUGUGUGUAAACAAAUAAGAAUAAUUGUUUGAAAGAUGAAGACUGUAUAACUUGCUUGUUAUGGGAGAAAAAUAAUAAUUUAUCGGUGAAUUAAAAUGAAGGUAUUAUUGAAAAAACGAUACAAUAAUUCACUUUCUUAAUUUGAGUGUGCUAUUAUAAAACAACACUUUAAAAAUGGAGGGAGUACAAUUUAGUUCAUUUAACAAUAUUGAUAGAGAAUAUUUUUAAAAAUAAAAUAAAAUAAAAUAUACUUCUAAAUUUUAAAUAAUUUUAAAAUAUAUGCUAAAUUAGUUAAAUUUACAAUACUAACCUUUCUAGUUUAAGUUUAUAAAAAUAGAAUGUAUUCAAGGUUGCAUAUUCUAGAGGUUUUAUGUGAAAAAGGGAAGAAAAGUGCAUCAUACAUUUGUUAUAUCUUCCAAGCUAUGAAGCUCUGAUACCUGACAUGAUACAUAUACGAUAUCGAUACGGGCAAAUUUUCAAAAUUUCCGAUACGAUAUGGCCUCGAUACGUUAUUAAAAAAUUAAAUUUAAAAUUAAUAGUAUAAGUGCACAAUGUAUAAUAACUAAAAAUGAUAAUAAAAAAACGUUCACAUUAAUGAAAAUGAUCAAAACAAGUGAUAAUUACAUAUUUUUUCAGCACAAAUUAGAUAGAAUACAACUAAGCAUCAUUAGUACCAUCCAAAGAGAACAUCAUAAGUACUAUAAAAAAAAAAUAACACCUUUGUCUAAUGUUGACUACUUAAUAUUUAACACUAAUUUAUAUCAAAAACAAACAAUUUUUUUCCCAAUUUGAGAGAAGAACCAAAGAAACAUGGCAUUAGAGCAAAGAGAAACAUAGUAGAAUUCAAUUGGUGGUAAUGGUUAGAAGAGGGAAUAGUUAUCGUUAUGUGGUGACGAGAAACCCUAUUUUUUUGGGUUAGAAGAGACAAUAUGUUUUUGAUAGCGCUGCCAAACUUAUAGUUUUAUUUCUAAUUAUUUUCUUUUUCUUUUUUUUUUAAAGGAAAUAUGUAAGACAGAGGUAUCGGUGUCGGAGUAUAAAUUAGCUGUGUCGGAGUACAAGUUAGCUGUAUCAGACACGUAUCGGUAAAUUUUUUUCGAAAAAAUAAAUAUUAAUUGCCCAAUACUUCUCCGAUACACGUAUCGGGACGUAUCAGUAUCAAUACGUGUCGGACAUGAUUCUUCACCAUUUUAAAAAUAUUGGGGCUUUAGAACUGCCAAGGUAUAGCGACUUGUGUGUUGGUUUAGUAUGAGUUGACCAAGUCUACGCAGAACAUUCAACAUAGAAAGACCAGUUGUAGUGACUUACGUGUUUUAAUUUUGAUGGACAAAUAAAUAUCUAUUACUAUCAAAAUUAUAUGGACCAGAUUGAUUAAGAAUCUAGAUAAAGGCUUCCUCUCUACUUUCCUUUCUCCUCUAAUCACUGAUUCUUCAAUUUAUCUUUGUUGUGGCAAAAAAAAUUAGGUUUUUGACCUAAAAGAAGUCGUGUGGCAAAAAAAAUAAAAAUGCGGCCUAAAACUUGAUGAUGUGGAAUCAUCGGAUGAACCGAUACUAUACAGGAUUUAUGACACGUCAAUAAAAGAUUGAAUUAUACAACCACAAAAUUCGAUCAUAUAAGAAUGAUUAUAAUUUUUUCUCUAUUUUGGCGUAGAUACAUUGGACUAUGAGGAUGGAGGGGAAAAAAAUGGAAGUUAUUAGAUGUUGCGAGUGCAUAGUAUGAUAGUAACAUGCUUCUCAAAUCCAACGUUUGGGGUUGAAAUCUAACAUAUUAGACCAACAAAAAUAGUUAUGGAGAUAAAAUUGAAAAUACAAAAUAGGUUAAGGGACCAAAUACGAAAUUUAGUCUAGAAAGACUAAAACUAUAAUUAAUUAGUCCUUAUCUUAUGUCAAGUAUAACUUGUUGCACUACUUUAUCUGAAUUCUGUUCUGGUUGCAUGAGUUGCAUGAUAUCCAAGAGAAUAACUUGUUGCACCAUUUCUAAGCUAUUGAUCUUCACAUGCUGUCAACAUGAUUUAAAUUAGUAUACCAUUUGGAUAACUGAAGAAAAACUUGACCACACUCAAUGUGAUUGAAGAAAGUGAAUCGCGGGCACGAUAAUAACAUUUGCAUCCUAAGUACUAAAAUUUCCAAUUGGAUUUACAUGUACAAUAUGAUGUAAAAGUUUCAGUUUUCAUUUUGAAAUUGACAAUGUAAUCUUUAAAGAAUAUUUUUCUCUUGAUGAAAUUCGACUUAGGGAAAGUGUUGUGCAUUGCGACUAGUCUAUUACUUGCACAAAGUAAUUGUUGCUUUUGCAGAAAUAAUUUAUUCUACAGUAAGUGUCGUUUUACUUUUUCAAUAUAUGAUUAUCAGAAUUAAUUUAUUUAUUUAUUUCAAUUUUAAUCUCGAAUUAAUAGCAGAAAAAAAAUAUGAUUAUCAGUUGCACCGGUAUAAUACACUUGCAUAUUUUUAUUCUAUAUUGCAGUUUACCUUAAUAUGGAAACCACAGUCACAGCCGUAUACACGGACACACUACUAGUCUUGAAGGUACAUAAAACUACAGGUUGAUACACACACAUAAAAGCAAAUAUUACAGUACACUUGCAACAACAUAAUAAGAAUUAGCACAAGCUGCCAAUCUUCCUUACAAAGUUAUUAAUUUAGAGAAUAUUCAAUACUAAUUGGUGAAGGGUGUAUGGUGGAACUUGCACUUCAACAGUACCUUCAAGCAGGGCCGUCUCUGAGAAUUCGGAGGCUCGGCUCUGGAAAUGAAAAGAGGCCAGUGAUAAAAUCAAAACAUAAUUUUUUUUAAAAGAGCAAUAUACUAUUUAUAUUUUUUAAAAGAUAAAUACAAGGUGCCGUAUAUAUGCGGUACACCUAGAGAUGAAAAUGACUACCGUAUACACGAGGAACCCUCACCUAACACCAAAAUCAAGAGGAACUAAUUCUAAUAAUCCUAAAAGAGGCCCAUCCUUGUGAGGGAAUGAAAUAAUCUUAGGGGGCCUAAGAGAUAUUAAGGGGGCCUAAAAAGAAACCACCAUUAUACUGGAUAUAAAAUAAAUAAAAAAUGAGGCCCAUCCUUGAGGGAGGCCCAGCUCGUUUGAGCUGUUUGCACCCCCUCAGAAACGCCCCUGCCUUCAAGCAUAUGUAUCACAUUUCUCAUGGUUGGUCUAAGAUAUGGAUCCUCUUGAACACACCAAAUAGCAAUCUUUACCAAUUUCUCCAAAUUUUCCUUGUCCUUCAAUGCCUCAUUGUCACCCUCAACCAAGGGAUCUAGAAUACCUUCUUUGUAGCAGUCAUAAGCCCAUUCAGUUAAGAUAGCUUUGUAUUCAUUUUCUUGAUCCAUUUCUUCAACACAUCUUCUACAUGAAAUUAUGUGAAAAAAAGAUGUUUUUUAAACUUUCAAUAAAUUGAAUACACAAUUUCUAAGAUAAAGUUGUUACUUUAAGCUUCUUAUCAAGUGCUCUUAGAUAGGUAGGGGAGCCAGUAAUUUUGAAUAGUGGAGGCACCAUUACACGAAAUUUGUUAGGAGGAAAAGUAUGCGUGUUUGAUUUUAUGGUUGCAUGAAACAAGGAGGAAGAGUUUUCAUUUUUCUCAUUGAGAAAGAGAUAAUCAUAGGUGGAUUUAAAAAUAAAAUCUCACAAAAAUGGAUGUGAUAUGAAUAUUGCUCCCACUUUUAAAUAUUUAUCCAUGUCAUCUCUCAACCGAUGUGAGACAUUUUAACAUAUAGUGAGACGGGGUGUAAUAAAAACUACUUAUUUUAACUUAAAAAUAAAUAAAUAUAUGAGAGAGUGUAACAUGAUUUGUUUGUGUGGAUAAAUUGCCGGCAAAAUAAAGUGAAUAAGUUGAGUGCAAAAUCUAUAUGGGGUAUAUUCCAAUUCAUAUAUUUAAUUUGCCUGCAAAAUCUAAUAGUGGUAUAUUACAAGUAUGGUGUGUGGCUCCGUCACUACUCUUAGGGCACUUAGUAGCAUUUUCCUUAAUUUUAUUAUAAAAUAAUUAUAAAGUAAUGUUCAUUAUAAAGUAUUAGGGUGUGUUUGUUUCAAGUUUAUCAAAUUUAUUCAUAGGAAUAACAUUCCUUGAAAUAUAAAGAUGGGAAUUUUAUUCGAAGGAAUUUAGAAAAAAUAUGUUUGGUUAUCUUUAUAAUAUUCCUAGGAAUCAUAAAAAUAGGGAUUAUAAUAGGUAAACUAUUUAUGAAUUUAUUCUCAUCUCCAUGGGAACUUUAUUCCCACCCUUUUCUUUGGAAAUUUUUUUCUAUUCCCAGGAACAUUUUAUACCCGGGAAUAAAAUUUAGUAAACUUGUAACAAACAUAGGCAUAUACAUUCCUAUCAUUUUAUUCCCGGGAAUCAACAAUUAUAACUUGAAACAAACGCACAGUGAAAUAUUUGAAAUGUAAUUUCUUAUUUUGAAACUUUAUGUUUAAUAUUCAUUUUUUCAAGGAUGUAUAAUAUUUUUUAUAGUCUCGUUUACUUGCAAAUGUUAUACCUCACUAAACUUAUACUACACAACUUUUUUUUUUUGAGAGGGUUAUACUACACAACUUAACAACAAUAAAAAUAUCGUGAGAAUCGGUUUUUCUAUCUCUGUAAAUUUAUGGACCCUAAUUCAAUUGAAAACGACUGUCAUGUAAGCACUCGGAUCUAUGCUUAUUUUCAUCUCCUCAAAUUAAAAAAUGAAUGACCAAAAUAAAUAUUAUGUAAAAAGUAAAGGAAAAUAUGCAUAUUUUACACAACUCCAAAAAAUACCAACCCGGGUAACUCAAAUCAUUGGGAGCACUCAUGAUCUCAUCAAUUAAAAACGGCUAAUAUCAAUCGUUGAUUAAAUAAAUCAAUAGUUGAUAUUAUGGACACAUGUAUAACAAUCUUGAGUAGUUUUUUUUUUUUUUUGAAGGAGCAACUCUUCUUUUUUUUUUUGAGAGCAAAAAGGAGCAACUCUUGAGUAGUUAUAAGUUGUUAUAAUAUUAAUUUUUAAUCUUUUUUUUUACUUUACAAAUUACUCAAUUCAUAGUUCCCUAAAAUAUACCGUGUUGUGUCAUUUAUUUUGCUUAGUUAGAUAUUAAAUUAACUUUAUCCAAAACAAAACAACAAUGGAAUAAGGUUUGUUCAUACAAAGACAUAACUUAUUUAGAGAACAAUUAAUACUAAUUUGAGACAGUUAUGGUGGAACCAUGGGAGGCAUUAUCUCUUCUCACUUUUAAGAAAGCCUUAGAACCAUUAACAGUUGUUGUGAAUUGGGACUCAAAUCUCACACCAAUAAAUAAUGAUGUGUGGAGUAAAGAAAAGUAGUAACCACAAUCAAAGCAAGCAAUCACAAGCAACAACAAUAAUAACAACACCUAGAUCUAAUCUAGAAAUUAAAGUGAAAAGCUCAAAACCACAAGCAUAAGAAAGCAAGAAAGAAAACAACAAACACACCAAAGAUUAGUAACCCAAUUCGGUCUAAUAUAACCUCCUCUGGAGGAGAGAGCACCUCUCCAAUCCACUAAGAUGAAAGUGAUACAAAUGAGUUACAAGAAAUUAGCAUAAGAGCUCACAAAGAACAAAACUUAAUUUCUACCCAUUUUUCAUGUCACUUACACUCUCAAUGAAUCCUAAGAGAAAGCACAAAAGGAAGCUUUUUGAUCUUUCCAAUGGUGAAAUCUCACUACCCAAGAUGUUUACAAUGUUUCCCAACUCAAGAGAACCCCACUACAAAGACACUCAACCCUAAAGUUCUCUCCUUUAUAGUCCCAAGUUUCUCUCUCUUCAAGCUCUCUUUCAAAAUCUGCAUAGAAACACUUAUAUAGUACUCUGCAGCUAUCAAAAUUGUGUCACGAUUGCCAAAUUCGUGUCACGAUUGAUGCAUACGACCCAAUGUACGACCAACCUUAUCUUGAAAACGUGUCAAACAUGCCAAAAAUCGUGUCACAAUUGAACAUCAAACAAAACCAUGCUCACGGUCUAGAAAAUCGUGACACGCCUACCAAAUCAUGUCACGAUUCUGAACUUUCUCAGAAUCACAAUUUCAAGGCAAUUUCAACAAGUUGCAUAAACUCUCCCGUUUGUGAGUGGUAAAGUUUAAUUCCGGCUUGCAGGUGCUAGAUGGAUCACCAAGAAUAUUUUGUUUUCAUUUAGUAAAGUUAAAUUCUAACUCAAAAGAAUCUCAGAAAAUCAAUGCUAAUGUGAGUAUUUGGAGAGACUAAAAACUUACUCGUACCGAAUCUAUGUAACCAAAUUCCUCUCUUUUUACUAUGUUUCAACUUUCUAAUUUUAACUAUCUUAGAUUAUAGUUUUACAGGGUUCAAAUUUGAUGCAAUCACAUUACUAGAGUAAUAAUGUGCUGAUUCCACUUUGCCAUUCGUAGUGAAAUUAAGAAACAAAGGUUUUUUUUUUUUUUUUUUUGACAAAAUUUUAAGAAACAGUUAAAACAACAUAUAUCCGUAAAAGGGACAAACCGGAAACCAAUGCGCCGUGAGCCAUCUUGCCUUCUUGCUGCCACUCCUGCUGCCUCUGGAUGUCGCCGUUCCAACGCUGCCAACAGCCGUCCAUCCCCUACACCACUGGCUAUCUUCACCACUUUGUCCUUUUAAACGACCAUAGAUUGGCAGCGAGAUGGUAGAAUGGGUCACAACGUUGGGGUUGCUGAUGUGGUGGUGUUUCUGACUCAGGUUGGGGAGCAUGCCCUAAUGCUACACGCUCCACAAUAUACAUCCCGAGAACAUCACCGCAUCCAGGUUGAUUCAAUGACUUGCACAACAAGCUUGAAAUACUUGACAUCUAUUUCCAGCUUGAAUUAGAAGUAGUUGAUGUACAAGUUAGCCUAGGAGUAGUUGCUAACUUACUGUUUCUCAAUACAGUUUUAGGAAUUAGUUAUAAUUAGAUAUAAGCUCGUGCGUUGCGCAAAUAUCUUGAAUGUUUUAGUUAUGGAAAAAAAAAAUUAGAGAAUAAAUAACUAUUCUAUUUAUAUAGUCAAGUUGUUGAUAUCAUAUGAAAUUGAAGAUAAGAAUAAGAAAUAUAUAUUGGCAUUAUUAAUUAAAAUAGUUGCAAGUAAAUCGUUGUACCUUGGUGUAAAUUGCCGAGAAAAUAGCAUGCAACUAGUCUGCAAGGAUUAUUAGACGGCAAAUUCUAUGGUAUAUCCAAUAAAUUUGGAUGUAUCGGUACACCAAUUCGUUAAAUUAAUAAUAAAUUAGUUAUUUUUUUGAAGAAAAAUAAUUAUUUUCUAUCAUUGACAACUAUAAUAAUUAAACUUUAUUUACCAAAAUCUUCGACGAAAUAAAAUUUAACUUUUACAAAUUUUUACUACUCAUAAUAAUAAAUAUUGAUUAUUUUUUAUGACAAAAUAUAAAUUUUUUAAUAUAAUCCUUAUAAACAAUGAAAUGAUGUUUUUUCUUAUGAUAUGACGUUUUCUAAAAUAUAAAUAUUGACAAAUAACUUUUUAUUUCAUAAAAAUGAUCGUUAAUUUAUAAGUUUUGUGAAACAAGAGUAUCGGUACACUAAAAUUUCUGAGUAUACCGUAGAAGUUCCCUUAUUAGACUAGAUAUUUUGACCCUAGUUUGAACCCGUAACUUUGUAAUUUUGUACGAGUUUCAUCCUUGAUUUACACUUCUGCAUACCAAAAAAAAAUUAGUAAAUUACGAGAAAUAAUUAUGACACUACCUCAAAUCAAGAGUAUUUAAGCAUACACACAUAAAUGAUAAAAUUUAAAAGAGAAAUAAUUUAGUCACAUCACUUAAUAAAAUUUCUCUUUUAAAUUUUAUCAAUCAUGGGUGUACGCCUAAAUAAAUUUUAUUUAGGGUUGUGUCUAUAUAUGAGUUGCUCUAAAAUUACACUAUCUCUUAUAUUACACCCUCCUCCUCUACUUCCCUUCCUUGACCAUUCUCAUUGGGUUCUUAGCAAUUCACAAAAAUAGAAUUGUCUGCAAGGCUAAUGCAGGGUUGCAUAUUUCUAUAGAGGUUUUAUGUGAUAAAGGGAAAGAAAGUGUACCAUACGUUUGUUAUUUCCAAUUUCCAAAGUAUAACGACUUGUGUGUUGGUUAAUUGGUUUAGUUGACCAAAGUCUACGCAAAGAAUAUUCAACACAUAGAAAGACUUGUAGGAGGGACUUACGUGCUUUAAAUUUGAUGGACACAAAAAUAUCUAUUUACUAUCAAAAUUAUAUGGACCAAAUUGAUUCAGAGUCUAGACAAACUUCAUCUCAUCUAUGUUGUAGCUCAAUGAGGUGAUGUGGCAAAAAAAUCUAGGUUUUAGUUUUAGACCUAAAAGAAGUGAUAUGGCAAACCAUUUAUUAACAUGGCAUAUAACGUUACUUUUGUAAAAUCAUUUAGAUAAAUUAACCAAGUAAUAUCCAGAAGUUCUAGCUCAACUGGCAAAAUGCCGAAAUUGUUAGGCCGGAUGCCAUGACUGGGUUCGAAACCCGGUGCCUCCACUUGUGUGUGUGAGUUUUAUAAUGGCUUUGUCAUUUCGUCUAUCUACCAAAAAAAAAAAAAAAUUAACCAAGUAAUUAUGGUCAAAUGAUUUUGAUCAGACUAUACUUAUCUCACGAUCAAAAUCGAAAUUACCAAAAUUCUCGUCUCAUGAAAAUCAGAGAGUUGACACCAAACAAAGAAUCAUUCAAAUGAACCUCUACUAUGUAGGUCUUAUGAUACAUCAAUAUUUUGUUUGUUUUCAUAAUUCCACUUUUGAAUCUAUAUAUCUUAGCUAAGGAUCCAAAAACUGGAUUUUGAAAAGGGAAAACCAAUUUAGAAGAACAAAAAUAUAGUUCAUAUUUUUAACCAUGCAAAGUCCACUUUAAAAGAACACAAAUCCUUUGUUGAGAUUGUAAAUUAUUUUCAUUUUUAUUUUUAUCAAAAAUGGAAGUAUAUCAUACGUCUGUUAUAUCCAGAUGGUUAAACCAACUUAUGACUUAUGAGUUGACCAGGUCCAAGUCUACACAAAGAUUAUUCAGCAGAGUAAUGACUAAGUGAUGAAAUUUUUAUGGACAAAAACAAUUGCUAUUUUCUAUAAAAAUCAUAUGAAUAAAAUUGAGAUAGAAUCUAAACAUGGCUUCCACUCUACUGCUUCCCUUUCUUCUCUUGUCACUGAUUCUUCAAUCCAUCCAUGUUCUAGCUCAAACCAAAAACACUAUAGCCAUUGGUGAUUCUUUUACUGCUGAAACAAGCAACUCUACAUGGUUGCUUUCCCCUUCUGGUGACUUUGCCUUUGGUUUUCUUCCAAUUCAAGACACUGACCUUUUUUUGCUUUCCAUUUGGUAUGCAAAAAUUCCUGACAAAACUGUUGUGUGGUAUGCUAAUAGAGAAAGUCCUGCACCAGAAGGAUCAAAAGUGGAACUCAAUGCCGAUGAUGGGUUGGUGCUAACUUCUCCAAAUGGUGUCGGGUUAUGGAAUACUACUGAGGUACUUAGUGCUAAAGUUUCUCGUGGUGUGUUCAACGAUACUGGUAAC